UCCUGGGGGGUUCCCUAUUACAUGCAAGUCGAGCGGACAGAUGGGAGCUUGCUCCCUGAUGUUAGCGGCGGACGGGUGAGUAACACGUGGGUAACCUGCCUGUAAGACUGGGAUAACUCCGGGAAACCGGGGCUAAUACCGGAUGCUUGAUUGAACCGCAUGGUUCAAUUAUAAAAGGUGGCUUUUAGCUACCACUUACAGAUGGACCCGCGGCGCAUUAGCUAGUUGGUGAGGUAACGGCUCACCAAGGCGACGAUGCGUAGCCGACCUGAGAGGGUGAUCGGCCACACUGGGACUGAGACACGGCCCAGACUCCUACGGGAGGCAGCAGUAGGGAAUCUUCCGCAAUGGACGAAAGUCUGACGGAGCAACGCCGCGUGAGUGAUGAAGGUUUUCGGAUCGUAAAACUCUGUUGUUAGGGAAGAACAAGUACCGUUCGAAUAGGGCGGUACCUUGACGGUACCUAACCAGAAAGCCACGGCUAACUACGUGCCAGCAGCCGCGGUAAUACGUAGGUGGCAAGCGUUGUCCGGAAUUAUUGGGCGUAAAGCGCGCGCAGGCGGUUUCUUAAGUCUGAUGUGAAAGCCCCCGGCUCAACCGGGGAGGGUCAUUGGAAACUGGGGAACUUGAGUGCAGAAGAGGAGAGUGGAAUUCCACGUGUAGCGGUGAAAUGCGUAGAGAUGUGGAGGAACACCAGUGGCGAAGGCGACUCUCUGGUCUGUAACUGACGCUGAGGCGCGAAAGCGUGGGGAGCGAACAGGAUUAGAUACCCUGGUAGUCCACGCCGUAAACGAUGAGUGCUAAGUGUUAGAAGGGUUUCCGCCCUUUAGUGCUGCAGCAAACGCAUUAAGCACUCCGCCUGGGGAGUACGGUCGCAAGACUGAAACUCAAAGGAAUUGACAGGGGCCCGCCACAAGCGGUUGGAGCAUGUGGUUUUAAAUUCGAAGCAACGCGAAAACCUUAACCAGGUCUUGACAGUCUCUGACAACCUAGAGAAUAGGACGUUCCCCUUUCGGGGGCAGGAUGACAGUGUGCAUGAUGUCGGUCACCUCGUGUCGUGAGAAUGUUUGGUUAGUCCGCCACUGAGCGCAACCCCUUGAUCG
RNAcentral lists this ribosomal RNA (1103 nucleotides) under Bacillus licheniformis. RNAcentral's name for it is "bacterial SSU rRNA". It matches the Rfam family "Bacterial small subunit ribosomal RNA", at positions 34 to 1112 of the family's 1533-position model. The record is from RNAcentral. Lineage: Bacteria; Bacillati; Bacillota; Bacilli; Caryophanales; Bacillaceae.